Molecule: ribosomal RNA, 455 nt
Filed under: uncultured bacterium
Lineage: Bacteria
Description: bacterial SSU rRNA
Rfam family: Bacterial small subunit ribosomal RNA
Source: RNAcentral
AUUGAACGCUGGCGGCAUGCCUAACACAUGCAAGUCGAACGGCAGCACGGGGGCAACCCUGGUGGCGAGUGGCGGACGGGUGAGGAAUGCAUAGGAAUCUGCCCAGUUGUGGGGGAUAACGUAGGGAAACUUACGCUAAUACCGCAUACGACCUACGGGUGAAAGAGGGGGACCUUCGGGCCUCUCGCGAUUGGAUGAGCCUAUGCCGGAUUAGCUAGUUGGCGGGGUAAGAGCCCACCAAGGCGACGAUCCGUAGCUGGUCUGAGAGGAUGAUCAGCCACACUGGAACUGAGACACGGUCCAGACUCCUACGGGAGGCAGCAGUGGGGAAUAUUGGACAAUGGGCGCAAGCCUGAUCCAGCAAUGCCGCGUGUGUGAAGAAGGCCUUCGGGUUGUAAAGCACUUUUGUUUGGGAAGAAAUCCGGUUGGUUAAUACCUGAUCGGGAUGACGGUAC